GCUUCGUCUUUUCCUUACUGCCCCUCAUUCAUCACUUUUUCUCUAGCAUGUUUUUGGCUCUGGUUUCAGAGUUUUACUUAGGUUUAAUGGUUCGCUUACGAAGUUUUUCGACAUCAGUGGUGAAGUUAUCGUCUCUAGUUCCAUGACGAGGUGGUGGGAGUGAUUUAUGGCGGUAGUAGUCGGCUUUAGGGUUUCCAUGGUGGAUUUGUCUUUCCCCUUUCAGAUCCACUUGUUGGGUUUUGUCGCACACAUUGAAGGAGAGAUGGCAUGGUUACCUAUGGACCAUCUUGUUUGUAGGUUCCUUAUGGUGGUGGUGGCGUUUUCGAGGUUGUUGGUUCAGGUGUCUUCUACGGCGUCGUGGAAAGCCGACCUCUUUGUAUCUUCAACUAGGUUGACGGAAGCUUCAUUGGACGUCUGCUUCCCGCUUCGGAACCGGAAUCGGAAUCGGAAUCACCGUUUUGAAAUCACCUUUCCAUUUUUUAAAACAUAAUGUCACAAAUCAGUAAAAAUAGAAAUUAUAUAUAGUUUUUAAUUUACA
Molecule: long non-coding RNA, 538 nt
Filed under: Brassica napus (rape)
Lineage: Eukaryota; Viridiplantae; Streptophyta; Magnoliopsida; Brassicales; Brassicaceae
Description: long non-coding RNA (BNAP_LNC024935)
Source: RNAcentral